Molecule: non-coding RNA, 627 nt
Rfam family: Eukaryotic small subunit ribosomal RNA
UACCUGGUUGAUUCUGCCAGUAGUCAUAUGCUUGUCUCAAAGAUUAAGCCAUGCAUGUCUAAGUAUAAGCAAUCUAUACGGUGAAACUGCGAAUGGCUCAUUAAAUCAGUUAUCGUUUAUUUGAUAGUACCUUACUACUUGGAUACCCGUGGUAAUUCUAGAGCUAAUACAUGCUGAAAGCCUCGACUUCGGAAGGGGUGUAUUUAUUAGAUAAAAAACCAAUGCCCUUCGGGGCUCCUUGGUGAUUCAUAAUAACUUGUCGAAUCGCAUGGCCUUGCGCCGGCGAUGGUUCAUUCAAAUUUCUGCCCUAUCAACUUUCGAUGGUAUGAUAGUGGCCUACUAUGGUGGCAACGGGUAACGCGGAAUUAAGGUUUCGAUUCCGGAUAAGGGAGCCUGAGAGAUGGCCUACCCCAUUCUAAGGAAAGGCAGCGAGCGGCGCAAAAUUACCCAAUCCCGAUACGGGCAGUUUAGUGACAAAAUAUAUACUUGAUACCCCGGCAUCUUUUCGGGUACUAGGAUAUUGCAAUGAAGGACAAUUAAAAAUCACUUAAACGAAAGAAACAAUUGGACGUGAAGAACCUGGGGCCCAACGACCAGCCGCAACUUCCUGCUUCCCCAAUAAGCAUA